UGGGGAAUAUUGCGCAAUGGGGGAAACCCUGACGCAGCAACGCCGCGUGAAGGAUGAAGGUCUUCGGAUUGUAAACUUCUUUGAUCAGGGAAGAAAGAAAUGACGGUACCUGAAAAACAAGCCACGGCUAACUACGUGCCAGCAGCCGCGGUAAUACGUAGGUGGCAAGCGUUGUCCGGAAUUACUGGGUGUAAAGGGCGUGUAGGCGGGGAUGCAAGUCAGAUGUGAAAUUCCGGGGCUCAACCCCGGCGCUGCAUCUGAAACUGUAUCUCUUGAGUGCUGGAGAGGAAAGCGGAAUUCCUAGUGUAGCGGUGAAAUGCGUAGAUAUUAGGAGGAACACCAGUGGCGAAGGCGGCUUUCUGGACAGUAACUGACGCUGAGGCGCGAAAGCGUGGGGAGCAAACAGG
RNAcentral lists this ribosomal RNA (407 nucleotides) under uncultured prokaryote. Its description in RNAcentral is "bacterial SSU rRNA". It matches the Rfam family "Bacterial small subunit ribosomal RNA", at positions 355 to 776 of the family's 1533-position model. The record is from RNAcentral. RNAcentral also lists the same sequence under 1 other name.